GAAAUCGAAAGGGAUAAAAGAUCACAUAUAGUCUUACUUGAUCUCUUGGCAUAAAUGAUGGGCCUAUAAAUGUGUGAUAGAAAUCGAAAGGGAUAAAAGAUCACAUAUAGUCUUACUUGAUCUCUUGGCAUAAAUGAUGGGCCUAUAAAUGUGUGAUAGAAAUCGAAAGGGAUAAAAGAUCACAUAUAGUCUUACUUGAUCACGAUAAAUGAUGGGCCUAUAAUUUGUGAUGGAAAUGGAAAGGGAAAAAACGAUCACGUAUGACUAUGGUCCACUUAAUCUUUCUAAUAAAGAAGAUGCCGAAAUCGGUGACAGUAGUCUGUCUUGUGCACUUUUGGCUUGCUAAAUUUGUUUGGACAAGUUGAGGCUAUUUGUAGUCAAUCACUAUAGCCGCUGUGAUUUUCUUGUGAAUUUCGUAUUUGGUGCUACUUCUUCUGCUUAUCGAUCAGUUUCACUAUAUGUACUUAUUUACUUUGGCCCUGCAUCGAGAUUGGAGAUAUAUUUUUUGAAUGAGAACUUACAAAAUGUUUUUUUUUUCUCUCGAUUUUGUUACUGCAUUAGGAUAUGUAUUUUUUUUUUAUCUCUCUAAUCUAACCCUUCAUUUGGGGGAACAGGGUAAAAUUGAAAAUGUACAGAGCGCAUAAAAGCUUCUUGACACCCAUUCUUAUAUCAUGUAUUGGUCAAUAAAUCAAAUAUUUAAUUAAAACAUACUAUGCACUAAGUUACUACGGAGUAUGUCUUAAAAACAUUCUUAAAAGUGAACUAAAAUAAAACAAGUAUUGCAAUAAUAAGUUUGUUUAUCUUUCAGAGGAAAAAUUGCCUCGACGCAAAAUUUAACAAUUUUUUUCUUCUAGUUUUAAUAACUUUUAAUUAGUACAAUCGAAAAAGGUUUUCCAUAACAUUUGAGAGUUUAACAUCUAUGCGCACUCAAGAGAGCUAGAUUCUAGAUAUUAUUUUAACAUAAUACUCCCUCCGACUCUAUUUGUUUUUCUUGGUUUGACUUUUUUUGUCUCACAUAAAGAUUCAAAACAAGAAGAACAAAAAGAGACAGAGGGAGUACUCAUUUUAUUUUGAGGUUCUAUAUUAUAGUUACUAGUAUUAUAACAUGUUAUUAGAUAUUUUUUUUGACCAUAUAAAGGAGUCUAUUACUCCCUCCUUCUUUUAAAGUUAGUUCUCUUUUCGUAUUGAGUUGUUUUUUUGUUAGCCCCUUUUGAUUAUUUGUCCAACUUUUAUCCCUAUUAUACCAUAAUUAUAAAUAUCAAAAUAUCUCACUUUUUAUUCCCAAUAAAACUUUAACCUCAUUAAACCACUUAGUUAUUUCUCUCUCUUACCUACAUGAGUUGGAUUCUAUUGAGAUUCAUAUGACAAAUGUACUUAUAUUGGAUUAUCUUAGAUUCCAAAAGGGGCUAACAUUCAACAAUAGAGUGAGUAGUACUCAUUAAAUCAAUUAUCAAAAAGAAUAUUUUAGUUUGUGUUCAAAAUUGUAUCUAAAAUCGCAUAUCUUUAAAAACAUGAACCUCAAUUAUUUUAAAAGUUUUCGUAGGAGUACUUUGAUCUAUUCUAUAGUUUAAAAGUUUUUAAAUUUUCAAAUAAGAUUCUAACAAAAAAGUACACACAAAUCUGUUGUGUAAUAUGGUAAUGAAAAUAGCAUGUAAUAUAUUAGUGAUGUUGCAAUAUGUUGUAAGUGUUAGAGCGCGUUACUUUCAAUUCAUUCGUCAAAACGUUUUGCUCGCACAAUGUGUACAAUAAAUUUAUUGUACACCAUGAUAACUUUUACCAAGUUUUUUGUAACUUUUAACUAAUGUUUUUGUAACUUUUUAAUAUGUUUUGAUUAAGUUUUAUAUAAUUCGUAUAUUAUAAGAAAAAAAAUGAUAGACAAACAUUUUACAUGGCUUUAAUUUAUACAAUAUUAGUGAUGUUUGAAGAAAUAACUUUUAUUAAAGCGAAAAAAUUUAUCACUACAAAAUUAAUAAUUUUUACUUAUAUAAGGGUAGGUUAACUUGUAAGAAUUUUGAGUUAACUUUUAUGUGUACAGUAUUUAUUGUACAUCACUUACAAAUAAGAAUUUGUGUUCUUUUAUUGUUAAUUUGUUACAAUAAGCAAUAUUUUUUAUUUUUUUUAAAAAAGACCUUCUAGAUUUCAAAUUUAUAUAAACUUCCUCCAUCUUAGAUUAGUUGUUACAAUUACCUUUACACAAAUAAGCAAUAUUUUUUUUUUAAAAAAAAAGACCUUUUAGAUUUCAAAUUCAUAUAAACUUCCUCCAUCUCAAAUUAGUUGUUACAAUUACCUUUGCACAAAGCUUUAGGUGAUAAGUGGUUGUUUGAUUAUCAAUUAUUAUUUUAUUAGAAAAGUAGAUGUGAUAGGAGUUAGUGGAGUAUUUUUUAAUUGAAUGAGAGAGGGUGCGGGGAUAAAAAAAAUUAGUGGGAAGAAAGAGACAAUAUAAUAAUUGUGGGAUCAUUCCUUAUUUAGAAGUGUAACAACUGAUUUGGGACGGAUGAAAAAAGAAAGUGUAACAAUUAAUCUGAGACGGAGGGAGUACUUAAUAUUUGAAAUUUUUAUCGUGCAAUUGCACAUUUGCACGGAUACUAUAAUAAUAAUAAUAAUAAUCAUAAUAAUAAUAAUAAUGUUGUUCGUGAUGCCGUGUCUUGUGCUGGGAUCGUGGGUAUCAAACAUCGACAUAAUGUUGUUCGUGAUACCCUUUUGGAUAUUUGCUAUCGGUCGGGGAUUUCUGCUCGAAAGGAGGUUGAUGUUGGGCUGACUAGUGAGAGUGAUGGAGCUCUUCGUCCUGCAGAUAUAUUGCUUUAUUCUUGGGAUGGCGGUGUAGAUGUGUGUGUUGACUUGACUGGGUCUUCACCUAUGACGCAAUCUGGGUUGUCAGACUUCGUUCCGGGUCGGGUUGUGGCGGUUGCUGCGCAGCGGAAGCAGGUUAAGUAUGCGGCACGUUGUAGGGCUUUGGGUUACGGUUUCUUUCCUUUUUCCUUCUCUUCUUUUGGGGAGUUAGAGAAAGGGGCUGUUUCGUUGCUGAAGCGGGUCCAGACGUACUCCAGGGCUCAAGACAUAGGGGCACGGGCAGCUGCCCACAUUUUCAGCAGGAUCGGGUUCGCCAUAGCUAGAGGAGUGGGGGCCCAGAUUGUAUCUCGGCUCCCCACCAACUUCUUGUAGUUUACUUGAUCUUUGUAGCUUGUUAAGCUUGUAACGUUUUGGUGGUUUCCCAUAAUAAUAAUAAUAAUAAUAAUAAUAAUAAUAAUAAUAAUAAUAAUAAUAAUAAUAAAGAUGAACAUUACAAUAGUAAUAAUUAACAUUAUAAUAUAAAAUAAGAUCAUUAAAGAAUAAGAUGGACGCAAUACCGUUCUUUUGAACUGAACUGAAUAGAACUGAACUGGACUGAAUAGAGCUGAAAUAAACUGAAAUGAAUGAAAUUGCAAUUAAGCCAAAAAAACAUGGUCUAAAUAUUAAAAUAUAUAUAACAAAUUCAAGGAGACAACCAAAAAACGUUAAAAAUUAAAACACAUAAUCGUCAUCAUACAUCAUCAUCCGAACCACAUAUUUUUUUUAAAGGGUUAAUUAAGAUGAACGUAGCGCAAUUAAUGACUUAAUAAGUAACGAAAUAACUAAAAAAAAAUGAUGUCGACCAUAUACGAUCAAAUAUUCGUAUAGAUUUUUACGUGAUCAGGAUCAGGUGUUGAUACUUGAUAGUGAAUAAAAAGUGGACCACGUACAGCACCACACUAAUCAUACCGAGUAUGUUCAUGCAAUGUGUCACGUGUGCUUUAAUUUGAAAAGUCUAAAACGAAUGUUUUCGGAAGCUGCUACAUGCUAGAGCUGUCAAAAAUUGACCCGACCCGAAAACCCGACCUGAACCGACCGAACCCGUAAUCGACCAUGACCCGAAAUUACGGUAAAACAGGUAACCCGAAACCUGACCUGUACCCGACCCGAAAAAACCGAUAACCAAUUUUAACCCGAUGUUGUAACACCCGAACCCGAACCCGACAUCCGACCCGAAAAUGACCGAUAACCGAACUGACCCGACCGAACAAUGACCCGAACCCGAUUUGAUACCCGACCCGAUGUCAACCCGAAACCGAUUGUAACUCGAUGAAACCUGCUAUAGACCCGACCUGUGAGAACCCGCUACUCGAUUUACCCGAGUUAUCAAUGACACGACCAAAUAUUAACUUCAUUGAUAUAUCUAUUUUAAUUAUUUAUUGCUAAAUAUUGAAAAAUUUAACUCUAAAAUAAGUUAAACAAAAAUUUUUAGAAUAUAAAAUCCUUAAAAUGUAUAGGUUAAUUAUCAGACCCGAGUUUGACCCGUCCCUGAGAGUGACCCGAUCUGAAUUCUAUUUGAUCUGGUUAUUAUCCGAUCCAAACUAAGAUCCGAACCCGAAAAUAACUGUGUUGCAAACCGACUUAAACCCGACUCGAUAAGACCCGAACCCGAAAUUAUCUGCUACAAAUCGACUUAAACCCGACCCGAUAAGACCCUAACCCGAAAUCAAACCUGACCGAAAUGUGACCCGACUCGAACCCGACCUGAACCCGGGAUAGGAAAAAACCCAAUAUGACCCGACCUGAAAUCGACCCGACCGAACCCGAACUCAACCCGAAUGAAAUAUUAACCCGAUACGACCCGGCCUGAUCAUGACCCGAAACCCGAGAUGACCCGACCCAAACCCGACCCGAUGACCUGUUUUGACAGCUCUACUACAUGCCUACAUAUACCCUCAGGCCUCAGGGUAUCAACUAUCAAAUAGUAACAUAUCCUUUACUUUUAUCGGUUGUUUUCACGUAAGCUACCUCAUAUGAGAUUAAAAUUUAAAUCUAAAAAAUAGCAACCUCAUAUGAAAUUUAAAACUUUAGACCAAUCAUAACCAAGGAUAUCAUACCCUUAGGAUAUAUGUAGUCUUUUCGAAUGUUUUCAGUUUCGCAACCAGCUAAAGGUUUUGCUUGUCCUCAGGUUAAAUGAUUUACUAAAAUAUAAUUUGUAAAUUUGA
Molecule: RNA transcript, 4994 nt
Organism: Spinacia oleracea (spinach)
Lineage: Eukaryota; Viridiplantae; Streptophyta; Magnoliopsida; Caryophyllales; Amaranthaceae
Gene name: beta-glucosidase 11-like
Exons: 2
Source: RefSeq, a predicted model, not a curated record